RNAcentral lists this ribosomal RNA (422 nucleotides) under Fusobacteriota bacterium. Its description in RNAcentral is "Fusobacteria bacterium partial 16S ribosomal RNA". It matches the Rfam family "Bacterial small subunit ribosomal RNA", at positions 355 to 776 of the family's 1533-position model. Lineage: Bacteria; Fusobacteriati; Fusobacteriota. The record is from RNAcentral.
UGGGGGAUUUUGCACAAUGGGCGCAAGCCUGAUGCAGCGACGCCGCGUGAGGGAUGAAGGCCUUCGGGUUGUAAACCUCUUUCGCUGGGUUGAAAGGCCAUGCUUUGGGUGUGGUUGAUUUGAACUGGUAAAGAAGUACCGGCUAACUACGUGCCAGCAGCCGCGGUAAUACGUAGGGUACUAGCGUUGUCCGGAUUUAUUGGUCGUAAAGGGCUUGUAGGUGGUUUGUCGCGUCUGUCGUGAAAUCCUGUGGCUUAACCAUGGGCUUGCCGUGGGUACCGGCAGGCUUGAGUGCGGUAGGGGAGACCGGAAUUCCUGGUGUAGCGGUGGAAUGCGCAGAUAUCAGGAGGAACACCGGUGGCGAAGGCGGGUCUCUGGGCCGUUACUGACACUGAGGAGCGAAAGCGUGGGGAGCGAACAGG